AACGCUGGCGGCGUGCCUAAUACAUGCAAGUCGAGCGAACGGACGAGAAGCUUGCUUUUCUGAUGUUAGCGGCGGACGGGUGAGUAACACGUGGAUAACCUACCUAUAAGACUGGGAUAACUUCGGGAAACCGGAGCUAAUACCGGAUAAUAUUUUGAACCGCAUGGUUCAAAAGUGAAAGACGGUCUUGCUGUCACUUAUAGAUGGAUCCGCGCUGCAUUAGCUAGUUGGUAAGGUAACGGCUUACCAAGGCAACGAUGCAUAGCCGACCUGAGAGGGUGAUCGGCCACACUGGAACUGAGACACGGUCCAGACUCCUACGGGAGGCAGCAGUAGGGAAUCUUCCGCAAUGGGCGAAAGCCUGACGGAGCAACGCCGCGUGAGUGAUGAAGGUCUUCGGAUCGUAAAACUCUGUUAUUAGGGAAGAACAUAUGUGUAAGUAACUGUGCACAUCUUGACGGUACCUAAUCAGAAAGCCACGGCUAACUACGUG
Molecule: ribosomal RNA, 493 nt
Filed under: uncultured bacterium
Lineage: Bacteria
Description: partial 16S ribosomal RNA
Rfam family: Bacterial small subunit ribosomal RNA
Source: RNAcentral